UACGAAGGGGGCUAGCGUUGCUCGGAAUUACUGGGCGUAAAGCGCACGUAGGCGGUCUUUUAAGUCGGGGGUGAAAUCCUGGAGCUCAACUCCAGAACUGCCUUCGAUACUGGAAGACUCGAGUCCGGGAGAGGUGAGUGGAACUGCGAGUGUAGAGGUGAAAUUCGUAGAUAUUCGCAAGAACACCAGUGGCGAAGGCGGCUCACUGGCCCGGUACUGACGCUGAGGUGCGAAAGCGUGGGGAG
Molecule: ribosomal RNA, 245 nt
Filed under: uncultured bacterium
Lineage: Bacteria
Description: partial 16S ribosomal RNA
Rfam family: Bacterial small subunit ribosomal RNA
Source: RNAcentral